AUUAGACUACCCCUGUAGUCCAGGGUGUAAACGCUGCAGACUUGGUGUUGGAGGCCCGUUUGGGGGCAUUCAGUGCCGGAGAGAAGUUGUUAAGUCUGCUACGUUGGGGAGUACGUCCGCAAGGAUAGAAACUUAAAGGAAUUGGCGGGGGAGCACCGCAACGGGAGGAGCGUGCGGUUUAAUUGGAUUCAACACCGUAAAACUCACCAGGGGAGACUGUUACAUGAAGGCCGAGAUGAAGACUCUGCUAGAUUUUCAG
This 259-nucleotide ribosomal RNA is filed under the name uncultured archaeon. RNAcentral's name for it is "partial 16S ribosomal RNA". It matches the Rfam family "Archaeal small subunit ribosomal RNA", at positions 728 to 982 of the family's 1478-position model. The record is from RNAcentral.